This 781-nucleotide ribosomal RNA is filed under the name uncultured Acinetobacter sp. Its description in RNAcentral is "bacterial SSU rRNA". It matches the Rfam family "Bacterial small subunit ribosomal RNA", at positions 96 to 872 of the family's 1533-position model. Lineage: Bacteria; Pseudomonadati; Pseudomonadota; Gammaproteobacteria; Moraxellales; Moraxellaceae. The record is from RNAcentral.
UGGCGGACGGGUGAGUAAUGCUUAGGAAUCUGCCUAUUAGUGGGGGACAACAUUCCGAAAGGAAUGCUAAUACCGCAUACGCCCUACGGGGGAAAGCAGGGGAUCUUCGGACCUUGCGCUAAUAGAUGAGCCUAAGUCGGAUUAGCUAGUUGGUGGGGUAAAGGCCUACCAAGGCGACGAUCUGUAGCGGGUCUGAGAGGAUGAUCCGCCACACUGGGACUGAGACACGGCCCAGACUCCUACGGGAGGCAGCAGUGGGGAAUAUUGGACAAUGGGCGGAAGCCUGAUCCAGCCAUGCCGCGUGUGUGAAGAAGGCCUUUUGGUUGUAAAGCACUUUAAGCGAGGAGGAGGCUCCUUUAGUUAAUACCUAAAGUGAGUGGACGUUACUCGCAGAAUAAGCACCGGCUAACUCUGUGCCAGCAGCCGCGGUAAUACAGAGGGUGCGAGCGUUAAUCGGAUUUACUGGGCGUAAAGCGUGCGUAGGCGGCUUUUUAAGUCGGAUGUGAAAUCCCUGAGCUUAACUUAGGAAUUGCAUUCGAUACUGGAAAGCUAGAGUAUGGGAGAGGAUGGUAGAAUUCCAGGUGUAGCGGUGAAAUGCGUAGAGAUCUGGAGGAAUACCGAUGGCGAAGGCAGCCAUCUGGCCUAAUACUGACGCUGAGGUACGAAAGCAUGGGGAGCAAACAGGAUUAGAUACCCUGGUAGUCCAUGCCGUAAACGAUGUCUACUAGCCGUUGGGGCCUUUGAGGCUUUAGUGGCGCAGCUAACGCGAUAAGUAGACCGC